GACGAACGCUGGCGGUGUGCUUCACACAUGCAAGUCGAACGAGGUAGCAAUACCUAGUGGCGGACGGGUGAGUAACGCGUGGGAAUCUGCCUUUAGAUGGGGGAUAACGGGUCGAAAGACUCGCUAAUACCGCAUAUGACGAAAGUUGAAAGGAGUAAUCCGUCUAAAGAUGAGCCCGCGUCCGAUUAGCUAGUUGGUAGAGUAAAAGCCUACCAAGGCGACGAUCCGGUAGCUGGUCUGAGAGGAUGAUCAGCCACAAUGGGACUAGAGACACGGCCCAUACUCCUACGGAGGCAGCAGUGGGAAUUUUACGCAAUGGCGAAAGCCUGACGUAGCGACACCGCGUGAGCGAAGAAGCCCC
This 361-nucleotide ribosomal RNA is filed under the name uncultured bacterium. RNAcentral's name for it is "bacterial SSU rRNA". It matches the Rfam family "Bacterial small subunit ribosomal RNA", at positions 28 to 417 of the family's 1533-position model. The record is from RNAcentral.